GACGAACGCUGGCGGCGUGCUUAACACAUGCAAGUCGAACGGUGAAGCUCCAGCUUGCUGGAGUGGAUCAGUGGCGAACGGGUGAGUAACACGUGAGCAACCUGCCCCUGACUCUGGAAUAAGCGCUGGAAACGGCGUCUAAUACUGGAUACGAGAAGGGUCCGCAUGGGCACUUUCUGGAAAGUUUUUCGGUUGGGGAUGGGCUCGCGGCCUAUCAGCUUGUUGGUGAGGUAAUGGCUCACCAAGGCGACGACGGGUAGCCGGCCUGAGAGGGCGACCGGCCACACUGGGACUGAGACACGGCCCAGACUCCUACGGGAGGCAGCAGUGGGGAAUAUUGCACAAUGGGCGAAAGCCUGAUGCAGCGGCGCCGCGUGAGGGAUGACGGCCUUCGGGUUGUAAACCUCUUUCAGCAGGGAAGAAGCGAAAGUGACGGUACCUGCAGAAGAAGCACCGGCUAACUACGU
RNAcentral lists this ribosomal RNA (467 nucleotides) under uncultured bacterium. RNAcentral's name for it is "partial 16S ribosomal RNA". It matches the Rfam family "Bacterial small subunit ribosomal RNA", at positions 28 to 506 of the family's 1533-position model. The record is from RNAcentral.